GCGAUUUCAAAUACAAAGAACUAGAAGUAACGGCUCCUUUCCUCAAAGAAAGAAACAACCGCUGUGCAAGAAAAUCUAGUAUGACUUCUCUUAAAAUCUCAAAGGAUUCACAGAGCAACACUAUCAGUUAAUAAAGAAAUGUGGCUCUGUAGUGGACACCUGUGAGGCAGUGGACAGCUGCUGAUGCCUGAUGCUGGCUGACAAUAAACAGACCUCUCUGGACGUAACGUACCCCAUCUUUUGCAG
Long non-coding RNA from Carassius carassius (crucian carp), 246 nucleotides. RefSeq lists it as uncharacterized. The transcript has 3 exons. The record is from RefSeq and is a predicted model, not a curated record. NCBI's taxonomy places the organism in Eukaryota, Metazoa, Chordata, Actinopteri, Cypriniformes, Cyprinidae.